Non-coding RNA from Xyrichtys novacula (pearly razorfish), 2112 nucleotides. The record is from the annotation of a GenBank genome assembly. Lineage: Eukaryota; Metazoa; Chordata; Actinopteri; Labriformes; Labridae.
CCCUUUAAAAUGAAACUCAAUUAGCACCCAAUGCACGAGAAGUGUGUGGGGAAGAUGGUGAAGCGGCUCAUUAAGUAAUUAAACCUUUUAAAAGUGGAACCUGGCUCAUCCAUCACAGGUAAACUAUUUUUUUUUUUUUUUUUUGGGGGGGGGGGGGGGGGGGUUGAAAUGCUUAAAGCAUGAUUUAAGUUUUAGGUUGGGUUUUAAAUAAUAAAGCUAAACCACUUUGGUCACUAAAGGCAUUCUAUUGGCAUAUACAAACAUGGUAUGUCAUCUUCAAAAUGUACAUAAAAAGCAUUGAUGCGAUCAAAGAGAGGGUAAUCAAAAGACAGGCAGUAAAAAUAACAUUAGCUAAGACGAAAUAAAAUUUCUCCAAGAACUGAGGAAGUUAGACUUGUCUUUUAAAGUCUAAUUUUGCUUUAGGGCCUUGGAGGCCUCUUUGUAAGACAGGGGCUCUUUUAAAAAGUAAACAGACCUUGCUUUUAUAGACAUACACAAGAGAACCUCGACUGUUUUAAACGUAUCCAUUCAGUACAAAAUUGCACUGAUAUUGAUAUAUAAAAACUUUACAAAACAAUUACUUAAAAAUUUGAAUAGUUAAAUAUAGAAAUUAAGUUGUAAAAAGCCUUACCUUUCAUUUCAUGUUUUGAGGGUUGAAUAUCCUGUGACAGGAAGAAAUAUGACACCCCCAAUAAGAUAAAUAAUUAUGAGCUUCCAAGUACUGAUGAAGUAUUUUUCCGGCUUUUUUAAUAUUUAUAUUUAUCAUGGUUUGUGGUCAGUCUUAAUGAAGCCUGGGGAAAUAUUAUGAGACAUAUGAACAUUUAAUGUGACGAAUCGGCGGCUCGGAAUCAAACCCGUCAUUCAGACGUCAACUGUUGACUUAGAAUAGUUCAACUUCUCACUUUAUACUUUUUGCAUGACAAAUAUAUUUCAGAUAUUUUUCGUUUUUCAUCAAUCAAACUCCAAAGUAAGCCGAGCAGAGAUUUUUUUUAUUCCUUAAUAUCGAAUCAUACCAUAACUGAACACUGUCCCACAGACCACCACCGCCAACCACUACAUCUCCAGUAUGAAUUUAAAAUACAACAAUCACCUGUCUGACAAUGUUACCACAAGUUUACAUCUUGAAGCUUCCUGACAGCAGAUAGGUGGUGGAGAUGUUGUACUGGGUUGUAUCAGAUUGCCCAGGUGUUUCUAAUGUUAUGGCCGGUUGGUAACAAGUUUUGCAUGGUUGGAAGCAAGGGCAACUUUUAGUUUAAGGUCAACAGUUAUCUUUGGUCAGGUUCAGUCUGUCCAGCCAGCUGAAUGGAUCUGCUUCUUUCUGUGAGGAGUCUCACUUUUUUAGAGGUGGUUUUAAUCAAUAACUUAGAGCAAGUUUGCUUAAAGACACUUUUCCCUCUCUUAUUAUGAAAAAGCUGCAAAAUAGAGACUGGUUUGACUCAAGAGAUAUUUUAUUGAAGGACUAUUUCCAGAGGACUAUGUUCACAAUAUUGCUAGUCUAUGAUUCUACAUUUUAAAUAACUUUCAAUUUUUCCAGAGAAGUUUCGUCUGCCUCCUUCAGGUGUCCUUGGUAAGUAACUUUUUUUUUUUUUUUUUCGUCUUUAGCAUGACUUUUACUUUAUUACAGCCCCUAUCUACACCCAAAGUCUUCUCUUACUGUAGUUGGUGCAUGAUGUAAUUGGUAUAUUAGGUUUCCUCUUAAAAUCCUUAAUGAUUCAUCAGUCUGUAUUCCUCUUUGUUUGAUAGCCAGUCUUUGUGAACUAUGUGUUGUUGAGGCUUUUUUACUUCAAAGCCUGACUCACUACACUGUAAUUCAGAGCCACAUAAACUUAGGUGUAAUAUUAAAGAUUACAAUCUUUCAAAGUUUCAAACAGGCCAUAUCAUGUAAUUGAGAGAGACUUUUUAAUAACAAUGCUAAAGAUAAUAGGUGUCAUUUAAAAGAAGUUAUGCUAUCCUGAAAAAGUGUGUAAACCUAUUCAUGCUGUAGAAAAAUGUAUAAUGUAAUCGAGCUUAUAGCUGUGUAAGCUGAGCUGUCCUCUAAUCUGUCUCUUAAGGUCAAAGGUCUGGAUCUAUUGUCCCUCAGGACUCUGUGAGUGAGUUUCCUCUGCUUUCCCA